CUAUGUUUUCCAAAAAAGAAUGGAGGGAUGGGGUUUCGUGACCUACACUCUUUUAACUUACCGAUGCUAGCUAAGCAAGUUUGGCGCUUGAUUGAUGAACCUGAAUCUUUGUGUGCUAGGGUACUUUGAGCAAAAUAUUAUCCCUCUGGUGACAUUUUAAAAGCAGGACCAAAGAAGGGUUCGUCAUUCACAUGGCAAAGUCUAGUUGCCGGUAUUCAAACGUUUAAACGCGGGCAUAUAUGGAGAGUUGGCAAGGGGGAAAAGAUCAAUAUUUGGGAAGAUCACUGGGUACCUUCCAGCCCCACAAGGCAAGUGAUUACACAUAGAGGUGGUGCUAUAAUCACAAGAGUGAAUGAAUUGAUUGAUCCGAUUACUGAACAGUGGGAUGAAGAACUAAUACGUAGCAUUUUCAGUCCUGUUGAUGUUGGGAGAAUCCUUCGUAUCCCAUUGAGCCAUAAUGGAUUUGAGGAUUUUGUAGCCUGGCAGGGGAAUAGGAAUGGAGUUUUCAUAGUACGGUCGGUGCAAGAUCUCUUCCAGUAA
This 540-nucleotide ribosomal RNA is filed under the name Triticum aestivum (bread wheat). RNAcentral describes it as "partial small subunit ribosomal RNA". Lineage: Eukaryota; Viridiplantae; Streptophyta; Magnoliopsida; Poales; Poaceae. The record is from RNAcentral.